AGACAACUCUCGAUCCAUCAAAAUAACAAUUUUUAAAAGUAAACCAUUAUAGGUCAAUGGCUCACACCGAACAAAAGCUAUAAAGGACCCCAAUAUGUUUGUAUGAAGAAACUUGAAUGAAAUCCGAUUAAUGCAGGUUUUACUGUAGGACUUUGUGGAUUGUCAUUCAAUACUGUGCACACUGUAAACUUUCUUCUCUGAUACUG
Molecule: long non-coding RNA, 206 nt
Filed under: Mytilus galloprovincialis (Mediterranean mussel)
Lineage: Eukaryota; Metazoa; Mollusca; Bivalvia; Mytilida; Mytilidae
Source: RNAcentral